Molecule: transfer RNA, 74 nt
Filed under: Pseudomonas anguilliseptica
Lineage: Bacteria; Pseudomonadati; Pseudomonadota; Gammaproteobacteria; Pseudomonadales; Pseudomonadaceae
Description: tRNA_Asp_GTC
Rfam family: tRNA
About the family: Transfer RNA (tRNA) molecules are approximately 80 nucleotides in length. Their secondary structure includes four short double-helical elements and three loops (D, anti-codon, and T loops).
Source: RNAcentral
GCAGCGGUAGUUCAGUCGGUUAGAAUACCGGCCUGUCACGCCGGGGGGCGCGGGUUCGAGUCCCGUCCGCUGCG